GCCCGUUUAGCUCAGUGGUAGAGCGCGCCACUCGUAUAUUUAUGAGCUUAUGGUGAGGUCAAUCGUUCAAUCCGGUUAGUGGGCA
This is a transfer RNA of Termitomyces sp. J132, 85 nucleotides long. It matches the Rfam family "tRNA". Rfam says of the family: Transfer RNA (tRNA) molecules are approximately 80 nucleotides in length. Their secondary structure includes four short double-helical elements and three loops (D, anti-codon, and T loops). NCBI's taxonomy places the organism in Eukaryota, Fungi, Basidiomycota, Agaricomycetes, Agaricales, Lyophyllaceae. The record is from Rfam.